RNAcentral lists this ribosomal RNA (570 nucleotides) under Macromia illinoiensis. RNAcentral describes it as "eukaryotic LSU rRNA". It matches the Rfam family "Eukaryotic large subunit ribosomal RNA", at positions 1389 to 1888 of the family's 3401-position model. The record is from RNAcentral. Lineage: Eukaryota; Metazoa; Arthropoda; Insecta; Odonata; Macromiidae.
UCGCGGCGGUGCGCGCAGAAGGGUCUGGGCUCGAGCCUGCCUGGAGCCGCCGCCGGUGCAGAUCUUGGUGGUAGUAGCAAAUACUCCAGCGAGGCCCUGGAGGACUGAUGUGGAGAAGGGUUUCGUGUGAACAGCCGUUGCACACGAGUCAGUCGACCCUAAGCCCUAGGAGAGAUCCGAUGCAAACGGCGAUGGGAAAAACUGUACUCUUUGUUUCUUUUGACGAGAGCCCAUUGAUCGGGCGAAAGGGAAUCCGGUUCCUAUUCCGGAACCCGGCAGCGGAACCGUUGUUUGUCGGGCCCUCGCAAGGGGUUCGUCAGGGCAACCUAAAAGGGCCCGGAGACGCCGUCGGGAGCCCCGGAAAGAGUUUUCUUUUCUGCAUGAGCGUUCGAGUUCCCCUGGAAUCCUCUCGCAGGGAGAUAGGGUUUGGAACGCGAAGAGCACCGCAGUUGCGGCGGUGCCCGGGAAUUCCCGACGGACCUUGAAAAUCCGGGAGAGGGCCACGUGGAGGUGUCGCGCCGGCUCGUACCCAUAUCCGCAGCAGGUCUCCAAGGUGAAGAGCCUCUAGUC